GUAACAAACUCAAUUCCAACAGAAGCACUCUUAUAUAUAUUAAUUACUGAAUACAAGUUACAAGGUAGAAUACGCACAACAAAGUAAUAACACACUAAUUACGGAUAUCUUAACAUAGACGAAGGUAGCUCCAGCAACAUCGAACGACAUUCAGCGAGAUCUUUAGAGAUUUGAAUCCUUCAUUUCUUGUAUUGAAUCACCAACGAAAGCCUUGAGUACUUUUUGGUCCUCCAUUAGAGAGACCUCUCAAUGAAAGCACCAAUGUAACAAACUUAAUUCCAACAGAAGCACUCUUAUAUAUAUUAAUUACUAAAUACAAAUUACAAGGUAGAAUACGCACAACAAAGUAAUAACACACUAAUUACGGAUACCUUAACAUAGACGAAGGUAACUAGAAGGGGAUGAGAUACUAGACCAUAGAAAGGAGAUGAGAGGAUCAGAAAGCCAAAGCUUCACAUAAAUUCCAUGCCCCUUCUUCUAACUUCUAGUCCUUUUUAAUAGAGAUACUAAAUUGGGCCUGGAUCCCCAAAUAAAAGUAUCUAAUAGCCCAUAGGCCCUUACCAAGUCACGUC
RNAcentral lists this long non-coding RNA (572 nucleotides) under Solanum tuberosum (potato). Its description in RNAcentral is "long non-coding RNA (STUB_LNC007664)". Lineage: Eukaryota; Viridiplantae; Streptophyta; Magnoliopsida; Solanales; Solanaceae. The record is from RNAcentral.